AUGGUGACAUGCCAAUCAGCUAACCCAAAACACCUGCAAAGGUUUCCUGAGCCUUUAAAAUGGUCUCUCAGUUUUGAUUCACUAGGCUACACAAUCAUGGGGAAGACUGCUGAUCUGACAGUUGUCCAGAAGACAAUCAUUGACACCCUUCACAAGGAGGGUAAGACACAAACAUUCAUUGCCAAAGAAGCUGGCUGUUCACAGAGUGCUGUAUCCAGAUCAGAGGGUCACUGCAGUCACCUGGAUCCAGUACGUAUCCAGUAUUUCAAUCUGAUUUAAUAGUUAAUUUAAUAAAAUGGUUUUAAACUUGUUUUAAUUGAUUCCUUAACUUUUGUUGUUGUUGUUGUUUGUAAAUUAUUUCUACUCUGCACUAAAUAUGCAGUCCCAAUUAGUUUAUAUUAGUUUACUGUACAGGUGCAUCUCAAUAAAUUAGAAUGUUGUGGAAAAGUUCAUUUAUUUCAGUUAUUAAAAUCAAAUUGUGAAACUCGUGUAUUAAAUAAAUUCAAUGCACACAGGCUUCAAUAAAUUUGAAUAUGGUGACAUGCCAAUCAGCUAACCCAAAACACCUGCAAAGGUUUCCUGAGCCUUUAAAAUGGUCUCUCAGUUUGAUUCACUAGGCUACACAAUCAUGGGGAAGACUGCUGAUCUGACAGUUGUCCAGAAGACAAUCAUUGACACCCUUCACAAGGAGGGUAAGACACAAACAUUCAUUGCCAAAGAAGCUGGCUGUUCACAGAGUGCUGUAUCCAAGCAUGUUAACAGAAAGUUGAGUGGAAGUAAAAGAGUGGAAAAAAAAGAUUCACAACCAACCGAGAUAACUGCAGCCUUAUGAGGAUUGUCAAGAAAAAUUGAUUCAAGAAUUUGAGUGAACUUCACAAGGAAUGGACUGAGGCUGGGGUCAAGGCAUCAAGAGCCACCACACACAGACGUGUCGAGGAAUUUGGCUACAGUUGUCGUAUUCCUCUUGUUACGCCACUCCUGAACCACAGACAACGUCAGAGGCAUCUUACCUGGGCUAAGGAGAAGAGAGAUGAGAGCAAGUUUUGUAUUUAAUUUGGAAACCAAGGUCCUAGAGUCUGGAGGAAGGGUGGAGAAGCUCAUAGCACAAGCUGCUUGAAGUCCAGUGUUAAGUUUCCACAGUCUGUGAUGAUUUGAGAUGCAAUGUCAUCUGCUGGUGUUGGUCCAUUGUGUUUUUUUGAAAAUCAAAGUCACUGCACCCGUUUACCAAGAAAUUCUGGAGCACUUCAUGCUUCCUUC
Molecule: long non-coding RNA, 1257 nt
Organism: Cyprinus carpio carpio
Lineage: Eukaryota; Metazoa; Chordata; Actinopteri; Cypriniformes; Cyprinidae
Source: Ensembl